GGAUAAAGUUCCUGCAAAUUGAUAGUUUCUAGGCGGUCUCGAAAACCGUUACGGGUCGUUAGGCCCGUCGAGGGUUCGAAUUCCUCCCCCUCCG
Molecule: transfer RNA, 94 nt
Filed under: Actinomycetota bacterium
Lineage: Bacteria; Bacillati; Actinomycetota
Description: tRNA-OTHER
Source: RNAcentral